CCGGUUUCCGGUAGCUGACAGCCGCCGCAGCCUGUCCCUGCCUCCUCCGGCGGUAGUGCCGCCGAGCCGGGCAGAGCGCACGGACGCGGACACAGACACGCACGGGAGGUGGAGGAGGAGGAGGGAAGAGGAGGAGGGACCGGAGCGCUCCCAGCACCAUCACCGAUCCCCCCAUGCGAUACGGGCGGCAUCGCGCUGCGCCGCUCCCCCGCAGACAGGCACCUGCAGGCAAAUGACAAGCAUGAGUCUGGAGGAGCACCAGUGUAAGUGCUGGGACCCUGUCAUCUAAACUGUGUCUCCAGCUGACUUCUAGCCAGCCAAGCUUUACCAAUCCUGCACCAUGGAGGACUGCCUUCACACCUCCUCUGAAAACCUCUCCAAGCUGGUGAGCUGGGCCCACAGCCACGGGACCAUCUGCAGCCUCAUCCCCAACCUCAAGCACCUGCUGUCCGAGGGAGCCCAUGGCAACCUGACCGCCAUGUGGGGCUGCAGUGCUGGCCAUGCCUACCACUGGCCCCUGGCUGCCACUUGCCGGGCUGGCUCCCAGGAACGCGUCUGCUUCCAGGACAGCCGCAGCUUCAACUCAGACAGUCCCAGUAUGUUGGGAGUGCCCUCUGAGACACAGGCCAGCCCGCUUGAGCGUUACCCAGGCCGGCCAGGGAAGGCCAAGCUGGACUGCACCCGCACCCGUGACUCCUGUGAUUUCUCCUACUGCAGUGAGCCCUCAGAGCUGGGCGAGCCGGUGGAGGAGUACGAAGACGAGGCCACUCUCUUCGACAUGGUCUGCGAGUCCUCCGUCACAGAUGAGGACAGUGACUUUGAGCCACACCUCCACCGCGUGCCCGGCGGCCCUCGGAAGCGGCCACCCGCUGGGCUCCCUGCUGCUGCCCAAGCCCAGCCAGCUGACGAGGGCAGUGGCGAGGUUCUGCUUAAGAAGAUCAAGCAGGAGCUGCCCGAGGAUUACUACAUCGUGGCCAAUGCUGAGCUGACGGCUGGUGCCGAUGGGCCGGCCCUGGCCCUCACCCAGAUGUCCAAGCCCAAAGCACCAGUGCAGGCUGGACCCUCUGGCCUGGGCCCCACCAGGGCUCUACCCCUGCCUGCUGGGCCUGAUCCCGACCCGCAACACCUCUGUGCCUCCCCACCCGGCCCACCCCGGCUCCCUGUGCAGAGACCUCCCCGAGCUGCCCUGGUUUCCCCAGCCCGUGGGGCAAGCGGCGGCCCCCCAGCCGCCCUGCAGGCACCAGCCACUAGCUCCAAUGCCGCUGCCGUGGGGAAGGCCAUCAGCAUCCCGCUGUCAGCCCUGCAGCUGCCUGGGCAGGAGGAGGCCCCAGCCGCAGAAGAGACCCUGCUGCCUGCCCCGCAGCCAGCCCCAGGGGGCGGUGAGGCAGCUGUGUCACCUUCGGUGAGCGCAGAGCCUGAGGUCAGCUCCAGCCAGCAGCAGCCCCCUGCUGCCCCUGCUGCCACCCCUGAAGCUGCAGUCCCGUCGAUGCCAGACCAGGAUGAGAGAGCAGCAGAGCUCAGCAGGGAGCAGAACGAGAAGACCAUUCGCAGCACACAGACAGCUCUCCGCAAUUUCCGCGAGUUCCUCAUCUCCAAGUAUCCCUCUGAGACCCGAGAGAUCUACGUCAUCCCCUGCAAAGAGCUCGAUGCGUACCUUGCUUCGUUCUUUGUGGAUGCCAGGCAGAAGGAUGGGUCUGAAUACGAGCCAAACAGCCUGGCCAACUAUCAAUGUGGGCUGGAGCGUUAUCUGAAGGAGCACAGGUAUGGAUACAGUAUUACCAGGGAUAAGGAGUUCAAGAGGUCCCAAGAAGCCCUAAAACAGAAGCAGAUAGAACUGAGGUGUAAAGGUAAAGGGAACAAGCCACACAAGUCCAUGAAGCUCACCUUUGCUGACGAGCUUAUCCUGCGCAAAAGAGGCUUGCUAAGCCGGUACAAUCCUGAAGGGCUCUUGAACCUUGUCUGGCUGAACAACACUAAGGCAUUUGGACACUGCACAGGUUUUCAUGGGUCCACCCUCAAAUGGGGAGACAUCCGGCUGCGGGUGACAGAGACGGGGUUGGAGUACCUGGAGUGGAUGGGACCAGACAGUGGAGAUAUCAAUGCCAAGAGCAAGAGAGGUGGGACAGACUCUCGGGUGUAUGCCACCCAGCACUCCCCACAGACCUGUCCUGUGCAAGACUACAAGGAGUAUGCCCAGAGGCGGCCUCCAGCCAUGCGCUAUGAGGAUGCACCUUUUUACCUGUCAAUCAAACCCGUUGUCAACUUGGCUGCCCUUCACUGGUACAAUUGCCAAGCUCUGGGGAAAAAUAAGCUUGCCAAGAUGGUAAAGACAAUGUGCGAGAAGGGCAACAUCCCUGGCAGGAAGACCAACUUCAGUGUCUACCAGAGCUGUAGCACACUGUCAGAAGCUCAGAGCAACCAGCUUGUGCUGAUCUGCAAUAACUUGAGCCAGCAGGCUGCCCAGUCCAUGGCAAGCCAUACCAAUACUGGCAACUUCAUAGUGUCAGCAUCCUAUGACUCUUCCUCUGACACAGCUUGAAAGAGGGGUAUAACUUGGACAGAUUUUUCUCUUCUGUUUUGUUUUAAGCAUUGAAUUUGUGCCCAAUAAUACACAUCAACUGUGAUUGUACACUACUCUCCCAUAGCCCUCUCUCCAGUGUUAAUUCACUUUAUAAAAAAAUAUAAAUAUAUAAUAUAUUUUUCUUUUUACAGAUAAGUCAAUAGAGAUAGUUUAGUAAUACUAACAUAGUAUUUAUAGUGUUAAUACAAAAAUGAAUGUUACUUGUGGGUUAUAAUAUAAUUGCAGAUUUUAAAAGGACAAAAAUGGUUCUCAGGCAACACAAGAUAGACUGGAAAUACCCUUUUUAACAUGCACACAUCAGUGACUGUAAUUCCCCAGGGAGACUUACGUAGCAAUUCUAUUUUAAAGCAUUUUUUUGACUUCUUAUGUUAACAUGGCCUCCUAGAGUGGAGGAGGCAAAUCUACCACUGGCUGCCGCUUCUUACCUGCUGGCUUGUUCUUGAUCAGAAAUACAAGGAGAUAAGAGAUACAUCAAUUGCUGAAUCUGCACGCUCUGCUGAGGAAGAGUGUGAAAAGAAGGCAGUCCAGCAUAAAGCAUGGCUAUCUUCCUAGCAGGAGAACUGGGACUGCACUUUCUGGGGAUGGUCGCCAUGCACCGAGCCUGCUUUGUAGCCAGGAGCACUGGCACAUCAUCCGGUAUCUCCCACAUGUCUGAUGGCCCUAUGCAGGGUCAGCGUGGGUGUCACAGCACCUCUCUGAAAAAUCAGAGCGCCUGGGCCAGCCAGGUAAGGCAACUGUGCUUCUGCAUGCUGAGCAGGGGAAGGCCGUAAGCACAAUUCGGCGAUGGUGCUGUCCCUGUGUGCAGGAUGGACACAUGCAGCUGGCACAUGGGGCUGUGAUGUAUCUCUGCAUAGGUUUUGGAAAGCUGAGCACCAGCAGGAAUGUGGAGGCUGGUUCUCCAUGAUGCUCUACUGGAUAACGUUAGCUGGCAACGGAGUGAUCCUUCAGAGGAAGACAAGUUCCUCAAAGCCCCAAGAAAUGGUGUGGAUGCAUGGCUGCCAGCUCCACCAGUGAAACCGAGUGCUGGUUCCAUCCUGCCUAUGGGGCUCUGCUGAUGUUGUCCGCCAGCACCUCGACUCUUCCGAAUCCAGUGGAGAGGCACUGACUGCAGCGCAGCGUGGGAAAGCCCCACAGCUUGGAGAUGUCUGUGGGCUCAUUGAAAAGUCUGACAAUGGCCAUUCACUGGAGUAUAUUCAAAGCAAUGGGGAUGUCUAAAGCUUUAACUCCUAACCUGACGGGGAAAAAAAUCAGUUUGGCACAAAAUUUACUUGUUCCAUGAACUGGUGGGUUUUAACAGUCUCUAGAGUUUAUGUCUCAAGUCAGAAAUUUAUUUUCUCUGUUUUCUCACUUUCUUUAAUGUUGGUUGGUAAUAUGAACAAAAUUUGUUUUUGUUUUUGUUUUUUUUAAAAUACAAAUGCCAUUAAAUGUCUGUGCAUUGGAAAUGGACCUACUGUUUCCAGGGGAUUGAGACACUUCUACCUUCUCUUUUAUUCUGGUGCUCAGCACUCAUUACACAGCAGCCACUGGUCUCUGAAAAAAAUUAGUACUCUUUCAGAUUUAUUUGAUCUGUUGUAGUUAAUAGAAGAUUUAUUCAGAGUGUUUGGGAUUUUGUAUGGUAGAUGCUAACUCUGAUGCUAACUUUCACGCUACAUUUGGGAAUUUUGGCUAGCUCUGUUCUGUACAGUCCAUAAGCAUCAUGCAAAUUGUGGAAUUGCCAAGCAAGGGGAAAAGAAUCAAGAAAAUAUAAAAUGUUCUUUAAAAUACUGUAUUAUUCUUACUCUAGAAAAAAUAAACUCUUAACAUUAAUUUUAAUGACGCUAUCUUCACCAUUUCAGCUGUUCUUAUUGUGAACAGAGAAAACUCUGCAAUAUUCCUCAGGCUUAGAAUUUGAUCUGCUUUGUAAAGGCUUGUGAUCCUGCUGAGAUUGUCUUCUGCAUCAUUAUAAUGUGUUCUCAGCUGGCCUGAAUCACACGUAGCCUUAAGUACUGCCACAUUGCUCCUGCCGGUAUUCCUCCUUCCCUUCUGCUGCGUUGAUCCAGGCUGGGCUGCUCUGCACAAGGCUGGGUGUCAAAUGCAGAGCAGAAACACCUGGAGCACUCAAGACUUACAGGCAAAUUGUGACAUAGAAUGUGUUACAAGAGUCUGCAAGCUGGCACGGGGAGAAGGGAGAAGUAGAUGGCAGUGCCCACAAGCCCAAGUGCUGCUGGUGGGCAGAGCUCGGUGUCUGCCCUGCAGAGCUCAGUGAGGAACACACCCCUGGGCUUCAUGUUUCUACCCACCUUGUUGUCACAGAUGGGUCUGAAACCUGCAGGAGAGGACAUCAUCCAGCCACUGCUUUGUUGUCUGGACUUGUCUGUGCCUGCAUGACCCACAUACCUCUGGGUCAUCUUGAGACCUAUUAGGCAGACAAAGCUAUUCAAGAUAUAAAGAAAUGGCAAAAUGUCUGAGUAUAGUGAAGGCAGUGGAAAGGCAGUGGAAAAGCCUGGCAAAUGCAAUAAAAGUUGUUGUGGUUUUUUUUUUUUACUAAAGAAGGCAAGCGUAAUCCUCGUCUUUAAGCUAUCCUUUAAUAUCCCACUUUGUUUUACACUGGAAUUAGAAAAUCUUUUCCAUUUGUUUUAAUUAUCUGCUGACUUUAAUUCUGCCUUUGAAAAAUGUUUUUGCUGUGACAACCCCAGCUAUGGUGAGUAGCGUUAGGGAAAAACAGUUAAAGUAAAGCUUUUAUCUUUCCCUACAUGCAAUAUUUAAUCAUUCUAAUCUUUUAAUAUGAAUGUGGUUUCUCCCAUUCUGAAAAUUGACAAGAUUAGGGCUGCCUCUCCCAAAAUAGCAAGUUCAAAAGCACGUUUUGCUUUGGCAUAGCUAGUGCAAUAUAUAACCAGCUAGCAAAGCAUGAGAAUUCCUGUAAGUGACCAAUUGAUUCUCAGAGUUAAACCUGUGUCUGAGGCUAACUUUCACGUGCCAACUUUUCUAACUCUGCCUGAACUCAACUUUUUUAAGAACAGUUUGUAAAAAAAGUACAUUCUUUUGUUUUAUAUAAAAAGGGUGUUAAAAGAUUCACUGUUCUGCCAAACAAUAAUAUUUCUAUGCACUGUGUCAUUCGGUGGUGUUGCUGUUGAAAUUUUGCAUGUUUUCUGGACGUUCUGACAUCCGUAUGUUUAUGUGGUACUUGUAGAAAUGCUGACCAUUGCUGCUGUGAUCAGAGCCACUGAAAAACUGAGAGCUGUACUGAGAAGCCCUGCCAGUCGGCAGGUAUUUCUGUGUGUCACAGUAAAUCUCUGCGUUCUGACGUUGUUUCCUGUGUUAAGCCAAUGUUCAGUGCCUUCUGGAGAAGGAACCAACAUGCUGCAAUAGGCAGGAGGUGCUGAACGUUUCAUGUCUUCUUCUGAACAGCUGACCACUUAUCAGCUUGAUCCUUAAAGAACAAACAAACAAAAAAGUAUUAAAGAAAAUCUUGAAUUCUCCAUCUUUCUUUGAGGUGUCUUCUCAUCAAUUUUAAUUUGGAAUAAAAAAAUUAAGAUGCCCAACCAACUGCCUUGAUGAAGCUAAAGGCUCCCGCAGCCGUAUGCCAGCUGUGAACGUGAGGGGUAAGACAUUCCUGUGGAGCUGAUCCAGUGAUCAGCCAAGCCUGUGAGAGCUGUUGUGGAGUUUGCUAAAAAUGCCUACUAAUGAAAGCAAUCCUCUGAUUACUGUAAGAAACUGCCAGCUCUCCUAGCAGCUGUGAGCCUGCUCCUGUAGACAAGUGUCAGCCUGGUCAAGUGGUGGAUUCCAGUCGCUUUCCCACCUCCGCUGAAGCCACGCUUUGCUGCCAAAUGAGCCUUGGAUGAAAUUCAAGCCUGAGAUUUUUGGUCUCGUUCUUUCCAAUUGCUUUCAUGGCAGGCGGGCCCUGUUUAUCAAAAUUCUGACACCGCAUUUUCAGCUCCUUUUCCACCUUCCCCUUAGAAUCUGGCAGUAUAGCAGAUACACACAUACCCAGAAUUAAUUUUGACUUAGCUAGGAUUUUGACAGGCUGAAAUCAUACCAUAUUGUAUUUGUACAACAGAAACAAGCUGUGGGUAAAAGUGUGAUCUGUCACAGAUCCCUGCCACCAGGCACAGUCAGCUGCACCUGGUCUGCUCUGAAAGUACCAUCUUAUGUGCAAACAAUGAAGGGCUAUAGCCAUUGUCUCAUGAUCUCUGCUGACAGGUGAAAGUCUGCUAAACAUCCUGAAAAGGUUCUCAAAUCAGAAUACCAGAAAAAAAACAAACAAAAAACCUGUGUGACUGGGACAAUAACAGAGAAUUGAAUUCAUUCCUGCUGCUCUGAAGCCAUCUCUGCACCUCUGUACAAGGCAGUUUAUAGCCCUUAAUGUGCAAUGUGCUUUUCCCAAAAUAGUUUACAUCACAAUCUUCAAAAUUGCCAUUCCUUUUUGUCACACCUGGAACAUUUACAAAAAGCAGUAUUGCAAGGUGCAGGCUGGACCACCCUGGAAGUCUGUCCAUGUAGUAGUCCUCUCCCACAGACCAAUGGAUUCAAGGUGCAGUCUUGCCUCAAAUACUGUGUUCAUUUCUGGGAUCUACAAUAAAGAAAUUGUUAAGGUCCAUGAAACAGUCUGAAAGACAGCAAAAAAAAAAAGCUAGAAGGCAGAAAAAAAGGUAGAAAGUUUGGUAGAAGGCAUGUGAGGCACCGUGUGAGGAGAGGUGGGCAGACCUGGGUUAUCGUGUGUGGAGGUGGCAGAAAAGUGGUCACUGCUCUGCAGCUCCCUGAGGGGAAGCAAAGGGACACGCUGGGCUCAGCUCCCUGGUGGGACAGAAUGCAAAGGAGUGGCACAGAGCUGCACCUGGGGAGGAUGAGACAGGGCAUCGGGAAGCAUUCCUUCACCAUGAGGGCAGUCAAACUGUGGAACAGGCUUCCUAGAGGUGACACAGCUGUCAGUGGCCAAGGGGAGUUUGGGCAGUGUGCUCAGUGACUGCUGUGACUGUUGAUUAGCAAUUGAUGUUGAGUGAAGGCCCCUUCCCACUGAGUUGUUCUAAACGUUCCUAGAACAUUUCUGAAAUCUCAACCUUCCAAAAGGGAUAAGGGUGCUUGAGGCCUUUUGCAGUAUUUCAGUUCCCAUCUCCUGGAUGGAAUAAGGCUGUCCUCAGAAAUAAAGGGCCAUUUUAUUGCUCUAAAAUCCAAUGGCUUCUUCGUAGAAUUAUAGAAUCAUAGAAUCGCUCAGGUUGGAGAAGACCUUAAAGAACGUGAAGUCCAUCUGCAACAUAACCGUACUACCCUAACUCUAGUAACCCUCCUCUAAACCAUAUUCAGCUGCUUUCUGAUGCCAGCUGAGACCAGCUGCAAUGAGUUUCUCUGUUGUUUUUGGUCUCUAGUGGCUAUGUACACAUGAACACAUCUCCGCCAGUGCAGUGAGGAGUUUCUGCUCCACAGAACUCCUGCCUGCAUAGGCCUGGUAUUAGGUAUGCAAGGCAGUGGCAGAGAGUCUUAUUCCUUGCAUUUUUUGUCUUUUUAGCUAGGUGUUAGUCUUCCAGUCCAACUAAUUGCAGAAAUUGACUUAGCAAUUGCAACCUACCGUAGGGAACCUGCUUUGGAGUGAAGGAUCUCCAUAAGUCCCUUCCAACCCCUAUAAUCCUGUGAUUCUGUGAUCCUGUAAUUGGUAAUUGGUCCUUAGAGCUCCUUCCCACACACUGACCCAACCUGCCAAAAGGUGUGUCAGGUUCUUGCAGAACUACAGUUGUAUAUUCCCAUCUUCACUUUGCAGAUGCAUCUACACUGCCUUCAGCUUAGAUUUGAAUCAGAAAAGCAAAGAGCACCGUUUAGUUAGCUCUUUGCAUGCUAGAAAUCCAGUUGUUUUACAGAUGCAGACGUGGUGUUAGGCUUCAGCCUGCUGCCUGCAGUGUGUGAGAAGUUUUCCUGGCGUUUGUUCAUUUUUCACCACAGCUCUCUGGUUUCAAGAAGCAAAUGGGCUGCUGUUAAUGCUGUAGUGGAUUUGAUGCCACUGCCCCAUCAGUGUGAUGCCUUCCGUGUACACGUUGUAAGCUCCUUAAUUGUGUUUUGACCUAAGUGCACUGUGGUGCAGGAAAAGCUUUUUGAUUUUUAUUAUUAUUAUUGUUGAAUAAUAAAAUAAAACCCUAUUGCAUUUCUGUCUGUGCUGCUGAAAGGAGACAAGAGAGAAUUUAUCCAUCCACAUCCCACUGGAAUUUCGAGGCUAACUUAGGUUUCUUUGGACCCCUUUGCAAGCCCCAGUUGUAAUCCACUAUGUUAGGCAGAGACGUUAACAUGAGCAGUGAUACAUUUCUAACACUAAAAAUGCAGUUUUUCUGUGGGACCUUCUCACACUGACAUCUUGCCUCUGCAUUUCGGAAUUUAUAUAUUUGUACAUUUGUUAGGGGGAAGGAAGAUUUUAAUAUAUUUUAAUGCAUUAGGCUUUGCAAAUCCAGGAUGUCUGAGAGAGAGAGAGAGAGAAGGUUUACUGGAUUUUUUUUCUGAAGACAUCAGGAAAAUUGUCAACCCUCAGAGCUACCUGUUCAACUUCAGACCUGGUUCAUUCUGGAUCUGAAAAAGAACAAGAGACCUGGAAAAAAAAAAAAAAAAUGAAGAAUAAGUCUUCACUGGUAAAUGAGGAAAGAUUCCACAGCCUUCUUCAGCGCCAGGUCCCCAGCUGGGUUCCCAGGUCUGCCAACCCUUUUACUUGAUGGCUGGAUAGGUUUUAACUCAUGUGGAUGCCAUGUUGCUCUUUCUGCAGCAGAUUUCUAAGAAGCAAACUUCACAUUGGUUAAGAUCCUUGAGAACAAUAUCAUCAUCUGUGUCUUAUGACACUUUUGUGCCAGCUGUACCUUUUUCCCUCACUGCAAAGUGCUCCACUCCUCUUCACUGGGGAUGGAGCAAAGAGAUGCUUUAUUGCCAUCUGUUGCACCACACUUCAGCCAGGUGCCUCCUUGGCUUCCCUGAAAAAUGCUUCUUCGGGGUGAUUGAGUAUAAAAGUUUAUUAAAUAAGAAGACAGUAAAAUUAAAAAGUCUUUUUUUUUUUUUUUUUUUUUUUU
RNA transcript from Lagopus muta (rock ptarmigan), 9594 nucleotides. It is a transcript of the gene named KIAA1958 ortholog, with no coding region annotated. Lineage: Eukaryota; Metazoa; Chordata; Aves; Galliformes; Phasianidae. The transcript has 4 exons. The record is from RefSeq and is a predicted model, not a curated record.